RNAcentral lists this ribosomal RNA (647 nucleotides) under Fructilactobacillus lindneri. RNAcentral's name for it is "bacterial SSU rRNA". It matches the Rfam family "Bacterial small subunit ribosomal RNA", at positions 57 to 660 of the family's 1533-position model. Lineage: Bacteria; Bacillati; Bacillota; Bacilli; Lactobacillales; Lactobacillaceae. The record is from RNAcentral.
GCAGUCGAACGAGGUCUCCUAACUGAUAGCUGGUGCUUGCAUCAGCUUGACGAUAGAUCUGACCGAGUGGCGAACUGGUGAGUAACACGUGGGUAACCUGCCCAGAAGAAGGGGAUAACACCUGGAAACAGAUGCUAAUACCGUAUAACAACGAGAACCACAUGGUUCUCGUUUGAAAGAUGGCUUUUAUGCUAUCGCUUCUGGAUGGACCCGCGGCGUAUUAGCUAGUUGGUGAGAUAAUAGCUCACCAAGGCAAUGAUACGUAGCAGACCUGAGAGGGUAAUCUGCCACAAUGGGACUGAGACACGGCCCAUACUCCUACGGGAGGCAGCAGUAGGGAAUCUUCCACAAUGGACGAAAGUCUGAUGGAGCAACGCCGCGUGAGUGAAGAAGGGUUUCGGCUCGUAAAACUCUGUUGUUAGAGAAGAACGACCGUGAGAGCAACUGCUCACGGUGUGACGGUAUCUAACCAGAAAGUCACGGCUAACUACGUGCCAGCAGCCGCGGUAAUACGUAGGUGGCAAACGUUGUCCGGAUUUAUUGGGCGUAAAGCGAGCGCAGGCGGUUUUCUAAGUCUGAUGUGAAAGCCUUCGGCUUAACCGGAGAAGUGCAUCGGAAACUGGAUAACUUGAGUGCAGAAAAGGACA